RNAcentral lists this transfer RNA (70 nucleotides) under Ecnomus sp. XG-2021. RNAcentral describes it as "tRNA-Lys". Lineage: Eukaryota; Metazoa; Arthropoda; Insecta; Trichoptera; Ecnomidae. The record is from RNAcentral.
CAUUAGAUAACUUAUAGUAAGUUUAGGUCUCUUAAACCAAAAUAAAAUAAUUAACGAUUAUUUCUAAUGA